UACGAACUGUGCGAACGUUAUUCGGAAUCACUGGGCUUACAGGGUGCGUAGGCGGCUUGUUAAGUAGGGUGUGAAAGCCCCCGGCUCAACCGGGGAAUUGCGCCCUAAACUGGCGAGCUGGAGUGAGAUAGGGGUGUGGAACUUCCGGUGGAGCGGUGAAAUGUGUUGAUAUCGGAAGGAACGCCGGUGGCGAAAGCGACACACUGGAUCUUGUCUGACGCUGAGGCACGAAAGCCAGGGGAGCGAACGGG
RNAcentral lists this ribosomal RNA (251 nucleotides) under uncultured bacterium. Its description in RNAcentral is "partial 16S ribosomal RNA". It matches the Rfam family "Bacterial small subunit ribosomal RNA", at positions 524 to 776 of the family's 1533-position model. The record is from RNAcentral.